This is a non-coding RNA of Pelobates cultripes (western spadefoot toad), 682 nucleotides long. NCBI's taxonomy places the organism in Eukaryota, Metazoa, Chordata, Amphibia, Anura, Pelobatidae. The record is from the annotation of a GenBank genome assembly.
CUGUGAAAAUAUAUAUAUAUAUAUAUAUAUAUAUAUAUAUAUAUAUACUUUUAAUUGAUUUUAAAACAUGUUUAAUAAUUUUUUAUUAUUCUUCCCACCAGCAGGGGGACUGUCUGACAUUUCAGACAGUCCCCCUGCUGGCAGAUCCACAGCCAGCUAUUGGGGCCCUGAUUUGCCGGGUGAGGGCUGCCUGGGCUGUGAGGCAGUCCUCCCGAAGUGGAGCGCUGGGAAGGUAAUUAUCCCAGCAGCUACAGGGCUCAAAGCCGUUACGGCGUUCUAUGCAAAUCGCACAUCCCCGUGGUGGCGACUUUGCAUGCGGAUGUCAUCCAUAUCAACUUUCGAUGCCAGUUUCUGCGCCUACCAUGGUGACCACGGGUAAUGGGGAAUCGGGGUUCCAUUCCGUAUAGGGACCCUGAGAAACGGCUACCACAUGCAAGGAAGGCAGCAGGCGCACAAAUGACGCACUCCCGACGCGGGAAGGUCGUGACGACAAAUAACAAUACAGGACUCUUUAGAGGCCCUGUAAUUGUAAUGAGUCCACUUGAAAUCCUUUAACUCUGAUCAAUUGGAGGGAAGUCUGGUGCAGAGCCACUGACCCGUGCGUGCUGCAGGCGAGCAGCAGCAGCGUGACAACGCCAAAAGCGCGCACCACCACUACAGUGAAUGUCACAUCCUGUUCCAA